AUUGAACGCUGGCGGCAUGCCUAAUACAUGCAAGUCGAGCGGACACAGGCGGCGCUUUCCUGUCUGCCGUUGGCGGCGGGCGGGUGAUUACCACGUGUAUCCCCUCCCUGUGGGAAUCGGAUAACUACAGGAGCGCGGAGCUCAUACCGGAUAAGAUGUAGAACCGGGUGGCUCAAUAGUGCACGAGGGUUUAGCUGUCCCUUAUAGAUUGUUCCGCGCCGGAUUAGCUAGUUGGUAAGGUAACGGCUUACCAAGGCAACGAUGCGUAGCUGAUCUGAGAGGGUGAUCGGCCACACUGGAACUGAGACACGGUCCAGACUCCUACGGGAGGCAGCAGUGGGGAAUCUUGGACAAUGGGCGAAAGCCUGAUGCAGCAAUGCCGCGUGAGUGAAGAAGGUCUUCGGAUUGUAAAGCGCUUUUAUUAGGGAAGAAGAGGUGUUGGUUAAUCCCUGGAUGUAUUGACGGUACCGAAAGAAAAAGCAACGGCUAACUACGUG
This 497-nucleotide ribosomal RNA is filed under the name uncultured bacterium. Its description in RNAcentral is "partial 16S ribosomal RNA". It matches the Rfam family "Bacterial small subunit ribosomal RNA", at positions 30 to 507 of the family's 1533-position model. The record is from RNAcentral.